CAAAAAGCUAAAGAGGGUGUACGGUGAAUGCCUAGGGACAAGUUGCCGAAGAAGGACGCGCAAGCGGCGAAACGCCUCGGGGAGCUGCACGAAAGCUGUGAUCCGAGGGUGUCCGAAUGGGGAAACCCCGCGUGGGUAAUGCCACGUGACCCGCAUCUGAAUACAUAGGGUGCGAGGAGGGAACCUGGUGAACUGAAACAUCUAAGUAACCAGAGGAAAAGAAAUCGAAGAGAUUCCGUAAGUAGCGGCGAGCGAACGCGGAAGAGCCUAAACCAUGGAGCUUGCUCUAUGGGGUCGUGGGGCGGCUAACCACUCUUUCGAAUCGAGCUCCAGUCAAAUGGAGUUGGAUUCGCAGGAGUGGCCACAGGAGUUUGACUAAGAAGUGAGUGGAACGGAUUGGAAAGUCCGGCCAUAGAGGGUGAUAGCCCCGUACUCAAAACAACUUAGUUCGAAUUCUGUCGUACCCGAGUAGCGCGGAACACGAGGAACUCCGCGUGAAUCUGUCCGGACCACCGGAUAAGGCUAAAUACGACUUGUCACCGAUAGUGCAUCCAGUACCGUGAGGGAAAGGUGAAAAGCACCCCGGGUAGGGGAGUGAAAUAGAUCCUGAAACCGUACGACCCACAAACAGUCGGAGCACCAUGUCCGGAGCAAUCCGGUCAAGUGUUACGGCGUACCUUUUGCAGAAUGAGCCUGCGAGUUGUUGGUGUUGGCAAGGUUAAGGCGUUCAGCGCCGGAGCCGGAGGGAAACCGAGUCCGAACAGGGCAUCAAGUCAGCAUCAGCAGACCCGAAACCACGUGAUCUAGCCAUGGUCAGGCUGAAGUGAUGGUAACACCUCAUGGAGGGCCGAACUCAUUGACGU
Molecule: ribosomal RNA, 863 nt
Filed under: Fimbriimonadaceae bacterium
Lineage: Bacteria; Bacillati; Armatimonadota; Fimbriimonadia; Fimbriimonadales; Fimbriimonadaceae
Description: partial 23S ribosomal RNA
Rfam family: Bacterial large subunit ribosomal RNA
Source: RNAcentral